RNAcentral lists this unclassified non-coding RNA (345 nucleotides) under soil metagenome. Its description in RNAcentral is "partial contains 5.8S ribosomal RNA, internal transcribed spacer 2, and large subunit ribosomal RNA". The stretch from base 1 to 120 matches the Rfam family "5.8S ribosomal RNA", at positions 35 to 154 of the family's 154-position model. The record is from RNAcentral.
GAUGAAGAACGUAGCUAAAUGCGAUAAGUAAUGUGAAUUGCAGAAUUCAGUGAAUCAUCGAAUCUUUGAACGCACAUUGCGCCCCCUGGUAUUCCGGGGGGCAUGCCUGUCCGAGCGUCAUUGCUGCCCUCAAGCACGGCUUGUGUGUUGGGCCUCCGUCCUCCUCCCGGGGGACGGGCCCGAAAGGCAGCGGCGGCACCGCGUCCGGUCCUCGAGCGUAUGGGGCUUCGUCACCCGCUCUUGUAGGCCCGGCCGGCGCUUGCCGACACAUCAAUCUUUUUUCCAGGUUGACCUCGGAUCAGGUAGGGAUACCCGCUGAACUUAAGCAUAUCAAUAAGCGGAGGA